RNAcentral lists this ribosomal RNA (510 nucleotides) under uncultured bacterium. RNAcentral describes it as "partial 16S ribosomal RNA". It matches the Rfam family "Bacterial small subunit ribosomal RNA", at positions 28 to 507 of the family's 1533-position model. The record is from RNAcentral.
GACGAACGCUGGCGGCGUGCUUAACACAUGCAAGUCGAACGAAGAGCGAUGGAAGCUUGCUUCUAUCAAUCUUAGUGGCGAACGGGUGAGUAACGCGUAAUCAACCUGCCCUUCAGAGGGGGACAACAGUUGGAAACGACUGCUAAUACCGCAUACGAUCUAAUCUCGGCAUCGAGGAUAGAUGAAAGGUGGCCGCUACAUGUAAGCUAUCACUGAAGGAGGGGAUUGCGUCUGAUUAGCUAGUUGGAGGGGUAACGGCCCACCAAGGCGAUGAUCAGUAGCCGGUCUGAGAGGAUGCACGGCCACAUUGGGACUGGGACACGGCCCAGCCUCCUACGGGAGGCAGCAGUGGGGAAUCUUCCGCAAUGGACGAAAGUCUGACGGAGCAACGCCGCGUGAGUGAUGACGGCCUUCGGGUUGUAAAGCUCUGUUAAUCGGGACGAAAGGCCUUCUUGCGAAUAGUGAGAAGGAUUGACGGUACCGGAAGAGAAAGCCACGGCUAACUACGUG